AGUGCAAACACUAUUAGAGAGAGUAAUAGAGACGACGAACGAUGAUGUGUAGAAGAUAUAGUCAGCAGCUCUGCCUGUAUUCAUCAUCCACUCGCGAGCAGCAGUGCAGCAGGCGGCUCCCGCAUCGUGCAACUGUUGGAGGCAUCAUGCACGCCGCGAGUGCAUCAUCAGGUGGAAGGCUGCGAGAGGCUUCUGGCAGCAGCAAGAAGCCCGCUUUUAGGCCAGCUUCCUGGUUGCCCGACCUCGGGGAGGGGUGUUUUCUUUUAGUGCAAAAAAGGGCAUGGCUUACGGGCCCGGUUAUGGCCGAGCUGUGGAUCGGCGGCGGUCGCUUGCGACACGUGCUGUGCCAGCAGUUCGGUCCUGGUCGAGCUCCCACAUUGCCUAUUCUCGGUGUAAGAGCUGGUCAUCUCUCCGACCCGUCUUGAAACACGGACCAAGGAGUUUAUCGUGUGCGCGAGUCAUUGGGCGUUGAAAACCCAAAGGCGCAAUGAAAGUGAAGUGCCACGCAAGUGGCUGAUGUGCGAUGUUGUGUUCCACGGAACACGACCGCAGCAUGGCCCCAUCCUGGCUGCUUGCAGCGGGGUGGAGGAAGAGCGUGCGCGAUGAGACCCGAAAGAUGGUGAACUAUUCCUGAGCAGGAUGAAGCCAGAGGAAACUCUGGUGGAAGUCCGAAGCGAUUCUGACGUGCAAAUCGAUCGUC
Molecule: ribosomal RNA, 700 nt
Filed under: Pratylenchus zeae
Lineage: Eukaryota; Metazoa; Nematoda; Chromadorea; Rhabditida; Pratylenchidae
Description: partial large subunit ribosomal RNA
Rfam family: Eukaryotic large subunit ribosomal RNA
Source: RNAcentral